AUAGCCGUUGCAAGUUCAAAAGGAGGAAGAAGACAAGAGUUGCUUUAUGCCUUGCUUUAUGACGCCACUUGGACUUGCUUUUGGGUCAACAUGACCGUUGGACUCCUUCUAGAAGCUAUUUGAAUUGAAUGGUGGAGAUUUAAAGAGAGAAAAGAAGGGCUAGGAUUAAAGGGGAUUGUGAGACAUCUUAACCUAGUUCUCCUUCUAUAUAAAGGCUAGUAGCCUCAUUGUAAACA
Molecule: long non-coding RNA, 236 nt
Filed under: Arabidopsis lyrata
Lineage: Eukaryota; Viridiplantae; Streptophyta; Magnoliopsida; Brassicales; Brassicaceae
Description: long non-coding RNA (ALYR_LNC000318)
Source: RNAcentral